This is a non-coding RNA of Podarcis lilfordi (Lilford's wall lizard), 74 nucleotides long. The record is from the annotation of a GenBank genome assembly. Lineage: Eukaryota; Metazoa; Chordata; Lepidosauria; Squamata; Lacertidae.
UGGGGAUUUAGCUCAGUGGUAAGAGCAUCGGUCUUGCAUGCAAGCGGUCCCUGGUUCAAAUCCUGGCAUCUCAA